GCAGUCGUACGGUGAAGCCAAGCUUGCUUGGUGGAUCAGUGGCGAACGGGUGAGUAACACGUGAGCAACCUGCCCUGGACUCUGGGAUAAGCGCUGGAAACGGCGUCUAAUACUGGAUAUGAGACGUGAUCGCAUGGUCGUGUUUGGAAAGAUUUUUCGGUCUGGGAUGGGCUCGCGGCCUAUCAGCUUGUUGGUGAGGUAAUGGCUCACCAAGGCGUCGACGGGUAGCCGGCCUGAGAGGGUGACCGGCCACACUGGGACUGAGACACGGCCCAGACUCCUACGGGAGGCAGCAGUGGGGAAUAUUGCACAAUGGGCGGAAGCCUGAUGCAGCAACGCCGCGUGAGGGAUGACGGCCUUCGGGUUGUAAACCUCUUUUAGCAGGGAAGAAGCGAAAGUGACGGUACCUGCAGAAAAAGCGCCGGCUAACUACGUGCCAGCAGCCGCGGUAAUACGUAGGGCGCAAGCGUUAUCCGGAAUUAUUGGGCGUAAAGAGCUCGUAGGCGGUUUGUCGCGUCUGCUGUGAAAUCCCGAGGCUCAACCUCGGGCCUGCAGUGGGUACGGGCAGACUAGAGUGCGGUAGGGGGAGAUUGGAAUUCCUGGUGUAGCGGUGGAAUGCGCAGAUAUCAGGAGGAACACCGAUGGCGAAGGCAGAUCUCUGGGCCGUAACUGACGCUGAGGAGCGAAAGGGUGGGGAGCAAACAGGCUUAGAUACCCUGGUAGUCCACCCCGUAAACGUUGGGAACUAGUUGUGGGGACCAUUCCACGGUUUCCGUGACGCAGCUAACGCAUUAAGUUCCCCGCCUGGGGAGUACGGCCGCAAGGCUAAAACUCAAAGGAAUUGACGGGGACCCGCACAAGCGGCGGAGCAUGCGGAUUAAUUCGAUGCAACGCGAAGAACCUUACCAAGGCUUGACAUAUACGAGAACGGGCCAGAAAUGGUCAACUCUCUGGACACUCGUAAACAGGUGGUGCAUGGUUGUCGUCAGCUCGUGUCGUGAGAUGUUGGGUUAAGUCCCGCAACGAGCGCAACCCUCGUUCUAUGUUGCCAGCACGUAAUGGUGGGAACUCAUGGGAUACUGCCGGGGUCAACUCGGAGGAAGGUGGGGAUGACGUCAAAUCAUCAUGCCCCUUAUGUCUUGGGCUUCACGCAUGCUACAAUGGCCGGUACAAAGGGCUGCAAUACCGUGAGGUGGAGCGAAUCCCAAAAAGCCGGUCCCAGUUCGGAUUGAGGUCUGCAACUCGACCUCAUGAAGUCGGAGUCGCUAGUAAUCGCAGAUCAGCAACGCUGCGGUGAAUACGUUCCCGGGUCUUGUACACACCGCCCGUCAAGUCAUGAAAGUCGGUAACACCUGAAGCCGGUUGCCCAACCCUUGUGGAGGGAGC
RNAcentral lists this ribosomal RNA (1386 nucleotides) under Microbacterium sp. F47. RNAcentral describes it as "bacterial SSU rRNA". It matches the Rfam family "Bacterial small subunit ribosomal RNA". Lineage: Bacteria; Bacillati; Actinomycetota; Actinomycetes; Micrococcales; Microbacteriaceae. The record is from RNAcentral.